RNAcentral lists this long non-coding RNA (1190 nucleotides) under Gossypium barbadense (sea-island cotton). RNAcentral describes it as "long non-coding RNA (GBAR_LNC022449)". Lineage: Eukaryota; Viridiplantae; Streptophyta; Magnoliopsida; Malvales; Malvaceae. The record is from RNAcentral.
AUGUUUACUACAAUAUGAGCACAUUUCCCAACAUAAACCACCAGUAUUUUAAGAUAAAUUACAAUUUGGUUCGUGAACGAACCACAUAUUUGCAAAUAAACUGCCACUAGGUUGUGGAUGCACAACAUAUUUGUAGAUAAAAGCUGCCACUGGGUUAUGGACAAGCCACCACUGUUUGCAAAUUAUUAAGCUGCCACUCUUCUUGCAUACAUAUCAUCCCACCCCAUGUAAUGCAAUAUGACAUGUUUUUGUAAUAGAAAAAUUCAACACUACCAGUAAACAUGCUUAACAUGUAUUCAAUUCAACAUUGGCAAUCAACAUGCUUAACAUGUAUUCACUUUAACAUUAGUAAUAGAUAUGCUUAACGUGUACUUCGAAAGGUGGUGACAAUAUUAACACUAACAACAUGUUUGGUUGGUUGUAAUAGCCAACCGAAUCACACAUGAGUCCAUUUAGUCUUGUUAUUCAAGAAUUUGGUUCAUUGUAUUGGUAUUCCAUGGAAUCCCUCAUUGGGUGCCAUUCGACAAAACCACAGAAUGACUAUUCUAAUCUUUCCUCUCAGAAUAGCCAUUCGACACUUCAAUGAAUAUGAAAAUAUUUUCUUAUUCCAAAAAAGUCCAUCACUAUUUCAUUAAUUUUUAACCUACAUUUCACCAUUAUUCAACAUACUAUCCACAUAACAAAUAAAUCUGAAACAGAAAGCAAAAUAUGAGAGAUUUUUGGUUCUCUUAAUCUAAAACAGAAUAAUAAAAAGAGCAAUUCAACAUGGUGCACAAAAAUAAAUAAAAAAAGAAAAAAAAUAAAAAAAAAGAGAAAGAAGAGAGACUUUUGGUUCCAUGGUACCCAACACCAAAUAAGAAAUAAAUCUGAAACAAAGAGAGAGGGGCUUGAAGCUUAUUUGUUUUUUCAUCAAUGAUUUUGUGGGUUUGCUUUUAGUUACUUGUUUUGGGGCUUCUAGUUUAGGGAAGGAGGUAAAAUGCGUAUUAGGAGUCGAUUUAGAGAAAACUAAUAAAAAAAUCGAAAAAAGGAUGCUAGAAUCAUCCAAAGUUGAAAAUUUGAGAAAGAAAAGUCACCAGAUGAUGGCAACACAUGGUGGUUGGUGUGGCGAUGCAUGGGGGUGAAGGUGGUUUUCUGGAAAAAAAAGAAGAUGAACGUUCAUCUUUUUCAAAAUAAGAGGGAAAGAGCAUUUG